RNAcentral lists this long non-coding RNA (587 nucleotides) under Salvator merianae (Argentine black and white tegu). RNAcentral's name for it is "lncRNA (ENSSMRG00000011728.1)". The record is from RNAcentral. Lineage: Eukaryota; Metazoa; Chordata; Lepidosauria; Squamata; Teiidae.
CUACUGCAGAGGUUGUAUCCGCUAUGGAAGGGGCAGCCAGUGGAUUGCUGUCUUCAAGCCUGACUUAGCCAUCAUGACAAACAUAAUCCAAUGACACCUGAAGGGCUGCAUUUGCAUUAGAGUUUCUGGAGAAGAGAAAAUUCUACUUGCCUAUGACUUUGAAUAAUAACAGGGUCUUUACUACCCAGAAAAGUUCUACAGGUUGGCUACCUGAAGAUGCAGCAAUGUCAGGAAAACGGUUAUUUUUUUGUUGCCACUACCACUGCCAUAUUGUAGGCACAAUAGUGUAUCUAACCCAUUCAGGAAUAGUCUCCAGUGGACCUACAGAGGGGAGAUGUUGUGCUACUAUGAGUCCAAAUUUUAUGAGCAGAUGAUCCAUCCGUGACGAUGAGCUUAUCACCUGCUCUCUAUCAACAGAUUCUCACCAAAGCCACUGUGCUGCAAACAUUAGAUAUGAGUGUUGCACUAUAUUCGUCCGAUUUAAUGACUAAGAUGUUACUGUUUAUGCCGCAUUGAUAAGUAAGAAAAUAAGGACAGACAUUGCAUUACAACCCCAUACGUCAAAAUAAAACCUAAUGUAUUUUCCA